AGACAGAGUGAGUGAUUGAGAGAGACAGAGAGAGAGAGAGAGAAAGGAUUAUCAAAAUUUGAAAAUUUACAUUUCUUUAAACUUUCAAAGGGGUUUAUUGUCGGGCCAAAAGUUCUGACAAAAGUCCUCUAGGGAUUUAAAAUAAUAAAAAAAAAAAAAAAAAAAAAAGUGGAUUAACAAUGGCACCCAAGAAUUUUAAAA
Molecule: long non-coding RNA, 201 nt
Organism: Alosa sapidissima (American shad)
Lineage: Eukaryota; Metazoa; Chordata; Actinopteri; Clupeiformes; Clupeidae
Exons: 3
Source: RefSeq, a predicted model, not a curated record